GUAGGUGGCAAGCGUUGUCCGGAAUUAUUGGGCGUAAAGCGCGCGCAGGUGGUUCUUUAAGUCUGAUGUGAAAGCCCCCGGCUCAACCGGGGAGGGUCAUUGGAAACUGGGGAACUUGAGUGCAGGAGAGGAAAGUGGAACUCCACGUGUAGCGGUGAAAUGCGUAGAUAUGUGGAGGAACACCAGUGGCGAAGGCGACUUUCUGGCCUGUAACUGACACUGAGGCGCGAAAGCGUGGGGAGCAAACAGGGAUUAGAUACCCUGGUAGUCCACGCCGUAAACGAUGAGUGCUAAGUGUUGGGGGGGUUUCCCGCCCCUCAGUGCUGCAGCUAACGCAUUAAGCACCCCCGCCUGGGGGAGUACGGUCGCAAGACUG
Molecule: ribosomal RNA, 376 nt
Filed under: uncultured organism
Description: partial 16S ribosomal RNA
Rfam family: Bacterial small subunit ribosomal RNA
Source: RNAcentral